This 74-nucleotide transfer RNA is filed under the name Uroplatus ebenaui. RNAcentral's name for it is "tRNA-Trp". Lineage: Eukaryota; Metazoa; Chordata; Lepidosauria; Squamata; Gekkonidae. The record is from RNAcentral.
AACACUUAGGUUAAUUAAACCUGGGGCCUUCAAAGCCCUAAACAAGCAGUACAACGCUUAGUGUUUGAAGGCGC